CUCAGACAGCAUGGGUCUCUUUGGAAAGAUGGGUAUAAAGGUAGGGUUAGACCAAAACAUGAAGAGAACAGAUCUGGUGCAUACGAUUAUUACUUGAUUCUAAGUAAAACAAUGGAAUGACUACAAUGUGCUAAUUUGAUUAAACUAAGAUGUAUUAUUUGUAUGCUAAUUAUUAUCCCUUGCUACUUUGUUGUCUCUGGGAAUCCAUGUUUUACAAUCACACCUUGUUGUAAUAAUAAACUGUGGCUUAAAUUCUGCAAAUAGGACUUCAAUAGCCAGAAAGCUCCCUAUGUGC
Non-coding RNA from Pelobates cultripes (western spadefoot toad), 295 nucleotides. The record is from the annotation of a GenBank genome assembly. Lineage: Eukaryota; Metazoa; Chordata; Amphibia; Anura; Pelobatidae.